CUGAUGCAGCAACGCCGCGUGGAUGAUGACACUUUUCGGAGCGUAAACUCCUUUUAUAUAGGAAGAUAAUGACGGUACUAUAUGAAUAAGCACCGGCUAAUCCGUGCCAGCAGCCGCGGUAAUACGGAGGGUGCAAGCGUUACUCGGAAUCACUGGGCGUAAAGAGCGUGUAGGCGGAUAGAUAAGUUUGAAGUGAAAUCCUAUGGCUCAACCAUAGAACUGCUUUGAAAACUGUCUAUCUAGAAUAUGGGAGAGGUAGAUGGAAUUUCUGGUGUAGGGGUAAAAUCCGUAGAGAUCAGAAGGAAUACCGAUUGCGAAGGCGAUCUACUGGAACAUUAUUGACGCUGAGACGCGAAAGCGUGGGGAGCAAACAGGAUUAGAUACCCUGGUAGUCCACGCCCUAAACGAUGUACACUAGUUGUUGCUAUGCUAGACAUAGCAGUAAUGCAGUUAACACAUUAAGUGUACCGCCUGGGGAGUACGGUCGCAAGAUUAAAACUCAAAGGAAUAGACGGGGACCCGCACAAGCGGUGGAGCAUGUGGUUUAAUUCGACGAUACGCGAAGAACCUUACCUGGACUUGACAUUUACAGAACUUUCAAGAGAUUGAUUGGUGUCUGCUUGCAGAAACUGUAGGACAGGUGCUGCACGGCUGUCGUCAGCUCGUGUCGUGAGAUGUUGGGUUAAGUCCCGCAACGAGCGCAACCCACGUCGUUAGUUGCUAACAGUUCGGCUGAGAACUCUAACGAGACUGCCUACGCAAGUAGGAGGAAGGUGUGGACGACGUCAAGUCAUCAUGGCCCUUACGUCCAGGGCUACACACGUGCUACAAUGGGGUAUACAAAGAGCAGCGAUACCGCGAGGUGGAGCAAAUCUCAAAAAUAUCUCCCAGUUCGGAUAGUACUCUGCAACUCGAGUGCUUGAAGUUGGAAUCGCUAGUAAUCGUAGAUCAGCAAUGCUACGGUGAAUACGUUCCCGGGUCUUGUACUCACCGCCCGUCACACCAUGGGAGUUGAACUCAUUCGAAUGCG
Molecule: ribosomal RNA, 1030 nt
Filed under: Halarcobacter mediterraneus
Lineage: Bacteria; Pseudomonadati; Campylobacterota; Epsilonproteobacteria; Campylobacterales; Arcobacteraceae
Description: bacterial SSU rRNA
Rfam family: Bacterial small subunit ribosomal RNA
Source: RNAcentral